UGGGGAAUAUUGGACAAUGGGCGAAAGCCUGAUCCAGCCAUGCCGCGUGUGUGAAGAAGGUCUUCGGAUUGUAAAGCACUUUAAGUUGGGAGGAAGGGCAGUAAGCGAAUACCUUGCUGUUUUGACGUUACCGACAGAAUAAGCACCGGCUAACUCUGUGCCAGCAGCCGCGGUAAUACAGAGGGUGCAAGCGUUAAUCGGAAUUACUGGGCGUAAAGCGCGCGUAGGUGGUUCGUUAAGUUGAAUGUGAAAGCCCCGGGCUCAACCUGGGAACUGCAUCCAAAACCGGCGAGCUAGAGUAGGGCAGAGGGUGGUGGAAUUUCCUGUGUAGCGGUGAAAUGCGUAGAUAUAGGAAGGAACACCAGUGGCGAAGGCGACCACCUGGGCUCAUACUGAAACUGAGGUGCGAAAGAGUGGGGAGCAAACAGG
This 429-nucleotide ribosomal RNA is filed under the name Pseudomonadota bacterium. RNAcentral describes it as "Proteobacteria bacterium partial 16S ribosomal RNA". It matches the Rfam family "Bacterial small subunit ribosomal RNA", at positions 355 to 776 of the family's 1533-position model. The record is from RNAcentral. Lineage: Bacteria; Pseudomonadati; Pseudomonadota.